GACGAACGCUGGCGGCGUGCCUAAUACAUGCAAGUCGAACGAGAGCGACCGGUGCUUGCACUGGUCAAUCUAGUGGCGAACGGGUGAGUAACACGUGGGUAACCUGCCCAUCAGAGGGGGAUAACAUCCGGAAACGGAUGCUAAAACCGCAUAGGUCUUCGAACCGCAUGGUUUGAAGAGGAAAAGAGGCGCAAGCUUCUGCUGAUGGAUGGACCCGCGGUGCAUUAGCUAGUUGGUGAGGUAACGGCUCACCAAGGCCGUGAUGCAUAGCCGACCUGAGAGGGUGAUCGGCCACAUUGGGACUGAGACACGGCCCAAACUCCUACGGGAGGCAGCAGUAGGGAAUCUUCCGCAAUGGACGCAAGUCUGACGGAGCAACGCCGCGUGAGUGAAGAAGGUGUUCGGAUCGUAAAACCCUGUUGUUAGAGAAGAACAAGUGCUAGAGUAACUGUUAGCGCCUUGACGGUAUCUAACCAGAAAGCCACGGCUAACUACGUG
Molecule: ribosomal RNA, 498 nt
Filed under: uncultured bacterium
Lineage: Bacteria
Description: partial 16S ribosomal RNA
Rfam family: Bacterial small subunit ribosomal RNA
Source: RNAcentral